This is a long non-coding RNA of Homo sapiens (human), 989 nucleotides long. Ensembl annotates it as MIR3976 host gene. NCBI's taxonomy places the organism in Eukaryota, Metazoa, Chordata, Mammalia, Primates, Hominidae. The record is from Ensembl.
CUCUUUCUGAUUGAGUGUAAGCUGCUAUAUGAAGGGAUCCACAAGACGAAUAAUUAAGGGGGACCUCUGAUCAACAGCCAGCAAGGAACUGAAUCCCUCAGACCCACAACUCACAAGAAACUGAAGCUGAAGCAGAUUCUUCCUCAGUCAAGCUUCAGCCACAUCAGGAAGCAGUAAGUGGCAGGGCCAUCUCAAGGAAGAGCCACCAGUCUCCAGGGAGUUUAGGUCUUAGAUGUGAAGCCUCAAGUAAUUUGCAGAGAUUGUCUUGCCUGUAUAACACACCCUGUUGUUGCUUUUAUACAGCCAAACUGACAGGGGUUUGUGAAUCAGAAUGAUGGCUUUGCAUUUUAGCUUAGGGAAGGACCUGCUUUGCAGAAAGGAUCUCAUUGAGAAUAGCAAAAGGAAGUUGGGAACCAUUACAGUGCCCAGCUGUAUUGGUAGAGGAGACCAACCACACCCUCCACAGCACAGCACCUGGAGAGGAACUGCUGCCAUGACCAUAGAGGACACCCUCUGGAUACAAUGCCAGACUUGAUGUGGGACUGACCAACCUAUGGACCCCAGGCACCACCACCCAGACCUGCUCAGCACCUGAAACAUUCACAGCCGUGGAGAGAGAACUGUUCACUGCUACCAUCCACACUUCUGGGCCCCUUCAGCAGCAGGGUGACAAGGAAGAGGGAAAUCGACUUGGAAAAGAGGGGACCUCUGACCCAAGAGUUCGGUCAAUGCAUAUGUUGGCAGCCAGCUGCACAUCGCACCAAAUAUGAACUUCAAAUAGAAGAAAGCCUCAUUUGGAAGAAAGCUCAUGCACAGACUGUAAAUAUUUCAGAGCAGAUUGUGUCUCUGUAGAUUAAGUAAGUUGUGAAAGUCUGAACCUCUGCCAAAAUUUUAAGACCUUGACCUUUACAUCUCUGAGUUUCUAUCUGUCAUUUUUCCUUUCUAUCUGUCAUUUUACCUUUCAUACUUAUAAAAUGGAAUUCAUAAUC